GAUGAACGCUGGCGGCGUGCCUAAUACAUGCAAGUCGAGCGAACGGACGAGAAGCUUGCUUCUCUGAUGUUAGCGGCGGACGGGUGAGUAACACGUGGAUAACCUACCUAUAAGACUGGGAUAACUUCGGGAAACCGCAGCUCCUACCGCCCCAUAUCCUCCCCCCCCCCCUCCCACCCUCCCCGCCGCUCCUCCCCCCACUCACAGCUCCACCCGCGCUGCAUUAGCUACCUGGUAAGGUAACGGCUCACCAAGGCAACGAUGCAUAGCCGACCUGAGAGGGUGGUCGGCCACACUGGAACUGAGACACGGUCCAGACUCCGACGGGAGGCAGCAGUAGGGAAUCUUCCGCGAUGGGCGAAAGCCUGACGGAGCAACGCCGCGUGAGUGAUGAAGGUCUUCGGAUCGUAAAACUCUGUUAUUAGGGAAGAACAUAUGUGUAAGUAACUGUGCACAUCUUGACGGUACCUAAUCAGAAAGCCACGGCUAGCUACGUG
RNAcentral lists this ribosomal RNA (497 nucleotides) under uncultured bacterium. RNAcentral describes it as "partial 16S ribosomal RNA". It matches the Rfam family "Bacterial small subunit ribosomal RNA", at positions 28 to 507 of the family's 1533-position model. The record is from RNAcentral.